Vigna unguiculata (cowpea) is the source of this 788-nucleotide long non-coding RNA. NCBI's taxonomy places the organism in Eukaryota, Viridiplantae, Streptophyta, Magnoliopsida, Fabales, Fabaceae. The record is from RefSeq and is a predicted model, not a curated record.
CUGGUCGACUCAUAACGGGGAGUGAGUGGUUGUUGCUGCCCAGUACGUGUUUGAUGAAAUUCCUAAGUUGAAUGCAAUACAUUUUGCUUGCCCAGUACCUGUUGUUGUAUCCUUGGCUAUCAAGAAUUUUACCAUCACCAGGUUGCUGCAAUUUUCAAGAUUGGUUUUAGCAAGGAAGCCCCGAAAGGUUAAUAUGAAUGUGCUCAUAGCCAACAAUGUUUUCUUCUCAACAAAGAGGUUAAUGCACCAAUCUACAAUUGUCAUGGGCUCGUGUUUUUUGCUUGAUCUCCCUUCCCUUUUUAUAAUAAAAAAAAUCAUUGCCAUGGCCUCUAUGCAUAGUUCUAUUAUUAUAUGUAUGGAAAACAUUCUUACUUCUUUCUCAGGGGAAAGACGGCUAGAGGUUGGGGAAUGGUUCUUGCCAAUAGGGUUGUUGUCUGCAUUGAAUGAUUAUGGUGCGAAUCCAGGUGGGAAUGAAGAGAGUGGUAAUGCCCUUUUAAAAGAAAUGGAAGAUGCUUUUGGGUUUGCUGAAGGGUUAUGAGAUGGUUGCAGGGUGAAUAACCUUUUGAAAAUUGGAAAAGUUAAAUCUGGAAAUAGCAUAAAGGAGAGCAAACAAAGUUAAUUGCGAGAAGAGUGAGCCCAAAAAACAACCCAACAUGAAGUGGUUAAUCUUCUUAAAGGGCAAGAACGUGAAGUGAUGAAAGCAAAAUAUUUUAGGAUUAGGAUAAAGAUUUUAGUUGCAGAAUUGGCUUAUGAACUUUUAAUGUUAUUUUCUUUUAUACUUGAACAUU